GUUUUUAGUUAUUUUU
Molecule: small RNA, 16 nt
Filed under: Arabidopsis thaliana (thale cress)
Lineage: Eukaryota; Viridiplantae; Streptophyta; Magnoliopsida; Brassicales; Brassicaceae
Description: ATSL283590
Source: RNAcentral